GACGAACGCUGGCGGCGUGCUUAACACAUGCAAGUCGAACGGACAGGCGCUGCUUUUGUUGGGUGGUCGAGUGGCGAGCGGGGGAGAAACACGUGAGUAACCUGCCCUUGACUUAGGGGUAAAUUCAGGGAAAUGGGUCUAAUACCGGAGAGGAUCUUCUGCUGCAUGUGGUGGAUUGGAAAGUGUCGGCGGUGGUGGAUGGACUCGCGGCUUAUCAGCUGGAUUGGGGAGUAGGUACGUACCCAGGCUUUGACGGGUAGCCGGCCUGAGAGGGUGACCGGCCACCUUGGGACUGAGAUACGGCCCAGACUCCUAUGGGCCGCAGCAGUCGGGAAUCUUGCACAAUGGGCGGAAGCCUGAUGCAGCAACCUCGCGUGCGGGAUACCCGCCUUCGGGUUGUAAACCGCUUUCGACUGUGACGAAGAGUGAUUGACGGUACUGAGUAAAGAAGCACCGGCUAACUACGUG
This 468-nucleotide ribosomal RNA is filed under the name uncultured bacterium. Its description in RNAcentral is "partial 16S ribosomal RNA". It matches the Rfam family "Bacterial small subunit ribosomal RNA", at positions 28 to 507 of the family's 1533-position model. The record is from RNAcentral.